ACCUGAAGUCAAGCAAGAUCACCCGCUGAACUUAAGCAUAUCAGUAAGCGGAGGAAAAGAAACUAACAAGGAUUGCCUUAGUAGCGGCGAGUGAACCGGCAAAAGCUCAAAGUGAAAAUCUGUGGCGGACAAAGUUACAGAAUUGUAAUCUAGAGAAUUUCACGAAAGGUGACGCUCUCGCACAAAGGCUUGAAACAGCCUAUCAUAGAGGGUGAAAAUCCCGUAUAUGGCGAAGGGCGUGCUGGCCGUGGAGUUUCGAAGAGUCGGGUUGUUUGGGACUGCAGCCCUAAAUGGGAGAUAAACUUCUUCUAAAGCUAAAUAUUUAUGGGAGACCGAUAGCGAACAAGUACUCCGAGGGAAAGAUGAAAAGAACUUUGAAAAGAGGGUUAAAAGACUUGAAAUCGUUGAGAAGGAACUGGUAGAAGAGUAUUAUUUGGGUGGGACGUUUGUUGUGAGAGCACCGGUCUGGGUGGCGUGUAGUUCGUUAAAGGCUUGCGCUAUUCAUGAUAACGGGGAUCUGCGACUUUUUCCUGCUCUGAAGACAAAAUGAGGUCUCGGCUAUCGGAAACACUAAUAGGAACGCCCCCUGGCAACAGGAAGUCCUGUCAGAACACGGUAGCGUAAGGCCUGAGGGUCCGAAAGGAGAUUUUGUCAAAAUGGCUUCUACUGACCCGUCUUGUAACACGGACCAAGGAGUCUAAC
Molecule: ribosomal RNA, 702 nt
Filed under: Tiarina fusus
Lineage: Eukaryota; Ciliophora; Prostomatea; Prorodontida; Colepidae
Description: Tiarina fusa partial Eukaryotic large subunit ribosomal RNA
Rfam family: Eukaryotic large subunit ribosomal RNA
Source: RNAcentral